GAUGAACGCUGGCGGCGUGCCUAAUACAUGCAAGUCGAGCGAACAGACGAGGAGCUUGCUCCUCUGACGUUAGCGGCGGACGGGUGAGUAACACGUGGAUAACCUACCUAUAAGACUGGGAUAACUUCGGGAAACCGGAGCUAAUACCGGAUAAUAUAUUGAACCGCAUGGUUCAAUAGUGAAAGACAGUUUUGCUGUCACUUAUAGAUGGAUCCGCGCCGCAUUAGCUAGUUGGUAAGGUAACGGCUUACCAAGGCAACGAUGCGUAGCCGACCUGAGAGGAUGAUCGGCCACACUGGAACUGAGACACGGUCCAGACUCCUACGGGAGGCAGCAGUAGGGAAUCUUCCGCAAUGGGCGAAAGCCUGACGGAGCAACGCCGCGUGAGUGAUGAAGGUCUUCGGAUCGUAAAACUCUGUUAUUAGGGAAGAACAAAUGUGUAAGUAACUAUGCACGUCUUGACGGUACCUAAUCAGAAAGCCACGGCUAACUACGUG
This 497-nucleotide ribosomal RNA is filed under the name uncultured bacterium. Its description in RNAcentral is "partial 16S ribosomal RNA". It matches the Rfam family "Bacterial small subunit ribosomal RNA", at positions 28 to 507 of the family's 1533-position model. The record is from RNAcentral.